Non-coding RNA from Cicer arietinum (chickpea), 86 nucleotides. Lineage: Eukaryota; Viridiplantae; Streptophyta; Magnoliopsida; Fabales; Fabaceae. The record is from Rfam.
AAUCACGUGAUGAGAAAAAAUAACUGCAACAAUAUGAUUGGAUUUAUUUCCGUGAUUCCUAUUAAUACUACAAUUCUCUGAUGAUU